RNAcentral lists this ribosomal RNA (397 nucleotides) under uncultured bacterium. Its description in RNAcentral is "partial 16S ribosomal RNA". It matches the Rfam family "Bacterial small subunit ribosomal RNA", at positions 523 to 918 of the family's 1533-position model. The record is from RNAcentral.
CUACGUAGGGGGCGAGCGUUGUCCGGAAUGAUUGGGCGUAAAGGGCGCGUAGGCGGCCCGGUAAGUCUGGAGUGAAAGUCCUGUUUUUAAGAUGGGAAUUGCUUUGGAUACUGUCGGGCUUGAGUGCAGGAGAGGUAAGUGGAAUUCCCAGUGUAGCGGUGAAAUGCGUAGAGAUUGGGAGGAACACCAGUGGCGAAGGCGACUUACUGGACUGUAACUGACGCUGAGGCGCGAAAGUGUGGGGAGCAAACAGGAUUAGAUACCCUGGUAGUCCACACUGUAAACGAUGAAUACUAGGUGUAGGGGGUAUCGACCCCUUCUGUGCCGCAGUCAACACAAUAAGCAUUCCGCCUGGGGAGUACGGCCGCAAGGUUGAAACUCAAAGGAAUUGACGGGG